This 349-nucleotide long non-coding RNA is filed under the name Homo sapiens (human). Its description in RNAcentral is "HSALNT0360097". The record is from RNAcentral. Lineage: Eukaryota; Metazoa; Chordata; Mammalia; Primates; Hominidae.
GCCAACUGUGUUCCCAUGUAGAACUGCGGCCCAGUGUAGCCAGUACCGAAGAUUUCUCAGAAAAAGCCGGAGAUCUCAAUGCUGGCUUCUUCCCUCAGCCUCGUCCGACCCCAGCCUGGGUUCAAUGAACAUUCGGUAAAGGAACACGGAAUGUCAAGCGCAUUAGAGACAACCUUGAGACACAUUCCUCUUGCGGAACAUCAGUCCUGAAUCCUCAGACCACCAUCUGGAGUAGUAAGUGCUCCUGACAGUCCUAGAAGUUGUCUACCGCUGGAUCUCCAAAGCGUGUGACACACCGUGAGAGAGAAAUGAGAAAGCUGGGCUCUUCAGGUAAAUCUUGCUUUUUCAC